Molecule: ribosomal RNA, 278 nt
Filed under: uncultured bacterium
Lineage: Bacteria
Description: partial 16S ribosomal RNA
Rfam family: Bacterial small subunit ribosomal RNA
Source: RNAcentral
GAUGAACGCUAGCGGCAGGCCUAAUACAUGCAAGUCGGACGGGAUUGGAGAGCUUGCUUUCCAUGAGAGUGGCGCACGGGUGCGUAACACGUAUGUAACCUACCUUGUUCAGGGGGAUAGCCUCUCGAAAGAGAGAUUAAGACCGCAUAACAUUGCAAUGUGGCAUCAACAAAGCAAUCAAAUAUUUAUAGGAACAAGAUGGGCAUGCGGAACAUUAGCUAGUUGGUAAGGUAACGGCUUACCAAGGCUACGAUGUUUAGGGGAUCUGAGAGGAUCGA